UAGGGAAUAUUGGUCAAUGGGCGAAAGCCUGAACCAGCCAUGCCGCGUGCAGGAAGAAGGCCCUCUGGGUUGUAAACUGCUUUUGACAGGGAACAAGAAGGCCAUGCGUGGCAAAGUGAGUGUACCUGUAGAAUAAGCCACGGCUAACUACGUGCCAGCAGCCGCGGUAAUACGUAGGUGGCAAGCGUUGUCCGGAUUUAUUGGGUUUAAAGGGUGCGUAGGCGGCCGCUUAAGUCAGUUGUGAAAUAUCCCGGCUCAACCGGGAGGGUGCGAUUGAUACUGGGCGGCUCGAGUAACAGCGAGGUUGGCGGAAUUGACGGUGUAGCGGUGAAAUGCAUAGAUAUCGUCAAGAACACCGAUAGCGAAGGCAGCCAACUAGGGGUUAACUGACGCUGAGGCACGAAAGUGCGGGGAUCAAACAG
Molecule: ribosomal RNA, 422 nt
Filed under: uncultured bacterium
Lineage: Bacteria
Description: bacterial SSU rRNA
Rfam family: Bacterial small subunit ribosomal RNA
Source: RNAcentral